This 770-nucleotide long non-coding RNA is filed under the name Anas platyrhynchos (mallard). RNAcentral describes it as "lncRNA (ENSAPLG00020015410.1)". Lineage: Eukaryota; Metazoa; Chordata; Aves; Anseriformes; Anatidae. The record is from RNAcentral.
AUGUACCACCAGGAAACAGCAGCCACCAAUGACUGUGAAGAAUGCACUCUGCCAGCUGCAGGCCAGGCGCUCCAAGGUGGGACACGGCCAAAUUUCAGCUGCCCAGGUAACCUCAGCUCAACCCACACUGUACGUGGCACAUCCUUAGUGCCCAGGGAGGAAACCAGGCUUUGGGACACAGCUGCAGCCUGUCUGAGGGACAUGCAGGCUGGCUCAGGUCCCGCCAAAAGCCACCUCAGCAGCACCGUGCCCGGGACGAGCAGCACAAACACCUCUCAAACACCUCUCCUGCAGCCGGGAGGGCUGGAGCUCCUCGUGGGCCGUGACUCAGCCCUUCUGCACCUCCCUCGGGGCGAAGCCGCCCUUCCUCACCCCGAGCUGUGGCGUGGGGUGAGGCUGUCCCCGUUGGCCGGAGUCCUGCUGUGUGCACAUUUCCAGCGUGGCGUGCUUGUGACCGUUCACCCACGAACCUCGGGGCUCUCGUCAUGCUGUGCGGGUGGGACAGCGGGGUGUCCACAGUGUGAUGUGGUGCUUUUUGUCACUGGGGCUCUGCUUUGUGUCACGGGGGUUGUGUUAAAACCGGGAUAAAUCCUGUGAGCACACCGCUGGCGUGCACCUGAGCAUGUUCUGCCCCAAGGCUGACCACCCUCUACUUAUUACAAUGAAUAAAUUAAUAGUAAUAACGAACAAUAACGGCUUGGCGCGUCUCGGGCACCCCUGUGCCGAAGCACGCCCCGAGCUGCCUCCUGUGAGGCUCCCUCCCUCCCGCC